RNAcentral lists this ribosomal RNA (250 nucleotides) under uncultured prokaryote. Its description in RNAcentral is "partial 16S ribosomal RNA". It matches the Rfam family "Bacterial small subunit ribosomal RNA", at positions 524 to 774 of the family's 1533-position model. The record is from RNAcentral.
UACGUAGGUGGCAAGCGUUGUCCGGAAUUAUUGGGCGUAAAGGGAGCGCAGGCGGAUUAUUAAGUCAUACUUAAAAGUGCAGGAGUAAUACUUGUGAUGGGUAUGAUACUGACAAUCUUGAGAGCAGGAGAAGCAAGCGGAAUUCUAGGUGUAGCGGUGAAAUGCGUAGAUAUCGGGAGGAACACCAGUGGCGAAGGCGGCUUGCCGGACUGUAUCUGACGCUGAGGCUCGAAAGCAGGGGUAGCGAACG